UACGAAGGGGGCUAGCGUUGUUCGGAUUUACUGGGCGUAAAGCGCACGUAGGCGGAUUGUUAAGUCAGGGGUGAAAUCCUGGAGCUCAACUCCAGAACUGCCUUUGAUACUGAGGAUCUUGAGUACGGGAGAGGUGAGUGGAACUGCGAGUGUAGAGGUGAAAUUCGUAGAUAUUCGCAAGAACACCAGUGGCGAAGGCGGCUCACUGGCCCGUAACUGACGCUGAGGCACGAAAGCGUGGGGAGCAAACAGG
RNAcentral lists this ribosomal RNA (253 nucleotides) under uncultured bacterium. Its description in RNAcentral is "partial 16S ribosomal RNA". It matches the Rfam family "Bacterial small subunit ribosomal RNA", at positions 524 to 776 of the family's 1533-position model. The record is from RNAcentral.